Molecule: long non-coding RNA, 362 nt
Filed under: Homo sapiens (human)
Lineage: Eukaryota; Metazoa; Chordata; Mammalia; Primates; Hominidae
Description: HSALNT0196029
Source: RNAcentral
CAAGACCAAUCUGGCCAACAUGGUGAAACCCUGUUUCUACUAAAAAUACAAAAAUUAGCUGGUCAUGGUGGUGUGCUCCUGUAAUCCCAGCUACUUGGGAGGCUGAGGCAGGAGAAUCACUUGAACCUGGGAGGCGGAGGUGGCAGUGAGCUGAGAUCACGCCACUGCACUCCAGCCUGGGUGAUAACAGUAAGACUCUGUCUCAAAAAAAAAAAAAAAAAAAAAAAGAAGAAGAAGAAGUUCAUCUGUGUCCAAGAAUUCUGAGAUAAUAAUACAGAGAUGACGUAUUGCUAUGCUGUUUGGGCUGGUCUUUGAACUCCUGGCCUCAAGCAAUCCUCCUACCUCAGCCUCCCAAUGUGCUG